This 907-nucleotide ribosomal RNA is filed under the name uncultured archaeon. RNAcentral's name for it is "bacterial SSU rRNA". It matches the Rfam family "Archaeal small subunit ribosomal RNA", at positions 1 to 922 of the family's 1478-position model. The record is from RNAcentral.
UUCCGGUUGAUCCUGCCGGAGAUCACUGUUAUCAGGGUCCGACUAAGCCAUGCGAGGCGUGAGUCUUAGGGACUCGCCGCACUGCUCAGUAACACGUAGCUAACUUACCCUUAGGUAGAGAAUAAUCCUGGAAACCUGGGGCUAAUACUCUAUAGGUUUUAGAUACCGGAAUGUACUAAAACCCAAAGCUUCGGCGCCUAAGGAUAGGGCUGCGGCCUAUCAGGUUAAAGUGAGCGUAAAGUACUCACUUGCCUAUAACAGGUAGGAGCCAUGAGAGUGGAAGCUUCGAGAUGCCUUCUGAGACAUGAAGGCAGGUCCUACGGGACGCAGCAGGCGCGAAAAUUUUCCAAUGCACUAACGUGUGAGAAAGGGACCUUGAGUGACUAUGCUAUGCAUAGCCUUUUCUUUAGCCUCGAUAGCUAGAGGAAUAAGUGGUGGGUAAGACAGGUGCCAGCCGCCGCGGUAAUACCUGCGCCACGAAUGGUGAUCACGUUUAUUGGGUCUAGAGCAUCCGUAGCCGGUUUAGCAAGUUUCUGGUGAAAUCUAACAGCUAACUGUUAGACGUGCUGGAAAUACUACUGAACUUGGGAUCGGGAGAGGAUGGAGGUAUUCUACGUGUAGGGGUUAAAUCCUUUAAUCCGUAGAGGACCACCUGUUGCGAAGGCGUCCAUCUAGAACGAGUCCGACGGUGAGGGAUGAAAGCGUAGGGAGCAAAACGGAUUAGAUACCCGUGUAGUCUACGCCGUAAACGAUGUCUGUUUGGUGUUGCAAGUCUUAUGUGGACUUGCAGCGCCGGAGUGAAGAUGUUAAACAGACCACCUGGGAACUACGUGCGCAAGCAUGAAACUUAAGGAAUUGGCGGGGGAACACACAAGAGUGAGGCUGCGUUCAUUGGACUCACGCCGGA